AGGAUAUCAAAACUAUAGUAGCAAGACAACUGUAAAGAAAGAACUAGAAGUAUAUAUGCAACAACCGCUACUAUAGCUAUAUGCGUCAACCGGACGAGAAGUCCAAACGUACCCAAUCUAAACCGCCGUGUCGGUCUAAGGACCUCAGGCAAAAGCCACUACCUGCUCACACCUGGCAUGUAACCCUAGCACAAAGAGAACACCACUGGGCUCACGGGUCGGAUGUACGACCACUUUUCCGAAAAUGAACACCCUCCUGCGGGGGAUCAACACGCUGGUGUACGUGAAAUGCACUCGAGCUGUGGCAAUCAAUGCGGAUAUGAUCAAUAGCCAACCGUCGGCAAUCAGCCGACAAUCAUUGCCCCUCUGGGCAUACCGAUCGUGUAGGUCAUCAAGUAACAACGUGAACCGACCGAGAUAGGUCAAUGUACGGAAAGUGACGAACGACCAAACAGGUCACCGAUGCAAAUAGGAGAACCGACCAACCAGGUCACAAGUAUAGUAUAUACGAAUGCCAUCUACUCUACCCCUAUACAGGAUACUACACAUAGAACAACCAGGCAGAGUAAAUAAAGAUAGUAUGUAGAUACUGCACGAUGUCAACUAAAAGUACGAACGCAAGAACCGACCGAUAGGUCACAGGAGUGUAUUCGAUAUAGUCCAGAACUACCGUCAGCACCAGCCGACAAUCCUACCCCUCAGGGUACACCGACCUCAAAGGUCAUCG
Molecule: long non-coding RNA, 727 nt
Filed under: Ananas comosus (pineapple)
Lineage: Eukaryota; Viridiplantae; Streptophyta; Magnoliopsida; Poales; Bromeliaceae
Description: long non-coding RNA (ACOM_LNC023126)
Source: RNAcentral